This 343-nucleotide unclassified non-coding RNA is filed under the name soil metagenome. RNAcentral describes it as "partial contains 5.8S ribosomal RNA, internal transcribed spacer 2, and large subunit ribosomal RNA". The stretch from base 1 to 120 matches the Rfam family "5.8S ribosomal RNA", at positions 35 to 154 of the family's 154-position model. The record is from RNAcentral.
GAUGAAGAACGCAGCGAAAUGCGAUAAGUAAUGUGAAUUGCAGAAUUCAGUGAAUCAUCGAAUCUUUGAACGCACAUUGCGCCCGCCAGCAUUCUGGCGGGCAUGCCUGUUCGAGCGUCAUUUCAACCCUCGAGCCCCCCCGGGGGCCUCGGUGUUGGGGGACGGCACACCAGCCGCCCCCGAAAUGCAGUGGCGACCCCGCCGCAGCCUCCCCUGCGUAGUAGCACACACAUCGCACCGGAGCGCGGAGGCGGUCACGCCGUAAAACGCCCAACUUUCUUAGAGUUGACCUCGGAUCAGGUAGGAAUACCCGCUGAACUUAAGCAUAUCAAUAAGCGGAGGA